This 438-nucleotide unclassified non-coding RNA is filed under the name fungal sp. Its description in RNAcentral is "partial internal transcribed spacer region". The stretch from base 1 to 46 matches the Rfam family "Eukaryotic small subunit ribosomal RNA", at positions 1786 to 1831 of the family's 1831-position model. Lineage: Eukaryota; Fungi. The record is from RNAcentral.
AAGUCGUAACAAGGUUUCCGUAGGUGAACCUGCGGAAGGAUCAUUAACACGUUAUCCACGUAUCAACCAACCGGCACUAAACGUUUUCAAUUCACUCCCUCCAAUACAAUGUCUCAUAGUUCGUUACGAUUUCGGGUAGUCGGUUUAAGCGGGGACACUUGUGUCCUACCUCCGCCCACAACACUUCAGUACUGCUUGUCGGUACUGGGACGAACAGAUUGAUAUGGUCGCGGGGACAACACCUUUUCCUUAGCGUCUGCUAAGUCUGCCUUUUUGGCGGUCGCUUUGGAUAUCACGAUGAAUUCGUGCAACCAACCUAUUUCACCCACCUUUUGCUAGUUGACUUUUAUAUUGUAUUGUUUGCUUCGGCAUGUGAUACACGUUUAAAUUAUUUGAACGUUAAAAAUACAACUCUUAGCAAUGGAUAUCUUGGUUCUC